Molecule: ribosomal RNA, 386 nt
Filed under: uncultured bacterium
Lineage: Bacteria
Description: bacterial SSU rRNA
Rfam family: Bacterial small subunit ribosomal RNA
Source: RNAcentral
AAUGGGCGAAAGCCUGACGCAGCAACGCCGCGUGCGGGAUGAAGGCCCUCGGGUCGUAAACCGCUUUCGACAGGGAAGAAAAUGACGGUACCUGUAGAAGAAGCCCCGGCCAACUACGUGCCAGCAGCCGCGGUAAUACGUAGGGGGCGAGCGUUGUCCGGAUUUAUUGGGCGUAAAGAGCUCGUAGGCGGUUAGCUAAGUCAGAUGUGAAAACUCAGGGCCCAACCCUGAGCCUGCAUUUGAUACUGGUUUGACUUGAGUCAAGUAGGGGAGUGUGGAAUUCCCAGUGUAGCGGUGAAAUGCGCAGAUAUUGGGAGGAACACCAGCAGCGAAGGCGGCACUCUGGGCUUGUACUGACGCUGAGGAGCGAAAGCAUGGGUAGCAAA